UCCUUCGGGGUGUGACUGCGUACCUUUUGUAUAAUGGGUCAGCGACUUAUAUUCUGUAGCAAGGUUAACCGAAUAGGGGAGCCGCAGGGAAACCGAGUCUUAACUGGGCGUUAAGUUGCAGGGUAUAGACCCGAAACCCGGUGAUCUAGCCAUGGGCAGGUUGAAGGUUGGGUAACACUAACUGGAGGACCGAACCGACUAAUGUUGAAAAAUUAGCGGAUGACUUGUGGCUGGGGGUGAAAGGCCAAUCAAACCGGGAGAUAGCUGGUUCUCCCCGAAAGCUAUUUAGGUAGCGCCUCGUGAAUUCAUCUUCGGGGGUAGAGCACUGUUUCGGCUAGGGGGUCAUCCCGACUUACCAACCCGAUGCAAACUACGAAUACCGAAGAAUGUUAUCACGGGAGACACACGGCGGGUGCUAACGUCCGUCGUGAAGAGGGAAACAACCCAGACCGCCAGCUAAGGUCCCAAAGUCAUGGUUAAGUGGGAAACGAUGUGGGAAGGCACAGACAGCCAGGAUGUUGGCUUAGAAGCAGCCAUCAUUUAAAGAAAGCGUAAUAGCUCACUGGUCGAGUCGGCCUGCGCGGAAGAUGUAACGGGGCUAAACCAUGCACCGAAGCUGCGGCAGCGACACUAUGUGUUGUUGGGUAGGGGAGCGUUCUGUAAGCCGUUGAAGGUGGCCUGUGAGGGUUGCUGGAGGUAUCAGAAGUGCGAAUGCUGACAUAAGUAACGAUAAAGCGGGUGAAAAGCCCGCUCGCCGGAAGACCAAGGGUUCCUGUCCAACGUUAAUCGGGGCAGGGUGAGUCGACCCCUAAGGCGAGGCCGAAAGGCGUAGUCGAUGGGAAACAGGUUAAUAUUCCUGUACUCGGUGUUACUGCGAAGGGGGGACGGAGAAGGCUAUGUUAGCCGGGCGACGGUUGUCCCGGUUUAAGCAUGUAGGCGGAACGAUUAGGUAAAUCCGGUCGUUUAUUCAACGCUGAGGUGUGACGACGAGGCACUACGGUGCUGAAGUAACAAAUGCCCUGCUUCCAGGAAAAGCCUCUAAGCAUCAGGUAACAACGAAUCGUACCCCAAACCGACACAGGUGGUCAGGUAGAGAAUACCAAGGCGCUUGAGAGAACUCGGGUGAAGGAACUAGGCAAAAUGGUGCCGUAACUUCGGGAGAAGGCACGCUGAUGGUAAGUGAAGCGACUUGCUCGUGGAGCUGAAAUCAGUCGAAGAUACCAGCUGGCUGCAACUGUUUAUUAAAAACACAGCACUGUGCAAACACGAAAGUGGACGUAUACGGUGUGACGCCUGCCCGGUGCCGGAAGGUUAAUUGAUGGGGUUAUCCGUAAGGAGAAGCUCUUGAUCGAAGCCCCGGUAAACGGCGGCCGUAACUAUAACGGUCCUAAGGUAGCGAAAUUCCUUGUCGGGUAAGUUCCGACCUGCACGAAUGGCGUAAUGAUGGCCAGGCUGUCUCCACCCGAGACUCAGUGAAAUUGAACUCGCUGUGAAGAUGCAGUGUACCCGCGGCAAGACGGAAAGACCCCGUGAACCUUUACUAUAGCUUGACACUGAACAUUGAGCCUUGAUGUGUAGGAUAGGUGGGAGGCUUUGAAGUGUGGACGCCAGUCUGC
RNAcentral lists this ribosomal RNA (1616 nucleotides) under Klebsiella ornithinolytica. RNAcentral describes it as "Raoultella ornithinolytica partial 23S ribosomal RNA". It matches the Rfam family "Bacterial large subunit ribosomal RNA", at positions 582 to 2179 of the family's 2925-position model. The record is from RNAcentral. Lineage: Bacteria; Pseudomonadati; Pseudomonadota; Gammaproteobacteria; Enterobacterales; Enterobacteriaceae.